CGAGCGCGUCUGAUUUGAUGCUUGCAUUAAUGAAAGAUGAGCGGCGGACGGGUGAGUAACGCGUGGGUAACCUGCCCUAUACACAUGGAUAACAUACUGAAAAGUUUACUAAUACAUGAUAAUAUAUAUUUACGGCAUCGUAGAUAUAUCAAAGUGUUAGCGGUAUAGGAUGGACCCGCGUCUGAUUAGCUAGUUGGUGAGAUAACUGCCCACCAAGGCGACGAUCAGUAGCCGACCUGAGAGGGUGAUCGGCCACAUUGGAACUGAGACACGGUCCAAACUCCUACGGGAGGCAGCAGUGGGGAAUAUUGCACAAUGGGCGCAAGCCUGAUGCAGCAACGCCGCGUGAACGAUGAAGGUCUUCGGAUCGUAAAGUUCUGUUGCAGGGGAAGAUAAUGACGGUACCCUGUGAGGAAGCCCCGGCUAACUACGUGCCAGCAGCCGCGGUAAUACGUAGGGGGCUAGCGUUAUCCGGAUUUACUGGGCGUAAAGGGUGCGUAGGUGGUCUUUCAAGUCGGUGGUUAAAGGCUACGGCUCAACCGUAGUUAGCCUCCGAAACUGGAAGACUUGAGUGCAGGAGAGGAAAGUGGAAUUCCCAGUGUAGCGGUGAAAUGCGUAGAUAUUGGGAGGAACACCAGUAGCGAAGGCGGCUUUCUGGACUGCAACUGACACUGAGGCACGAAAGCGUGGGUAGCAAACAGGAUUAGAUACCCUGGUAGUCCACGCUGUAAACGAUGAGUACUAGGUGUCGGGGGUUACCCCCCUCGGUGCCGCAGCUAACGCAUUAAGUACUCCGCCUGGGGAGUACGCACGCAAGUGUG
This 821-nucleotide ribosomal RNA is filed under the name uncultured Clostridia bacterium. RNAcentral describes it as "bacterial SSU rRNA". It matches the Rfam family "Bacterial small subunit ribosomal RNA", at positions 63 to 896 of the family's 1533-position model. Lineage: Bacteria; Bacillati; Bacillota; Clostridia. The record is from RNAcentral.